CUUAGGAGCCAAUGAUGUUUUUAUUCAAAAUGUCUGAACCUGUCUGAUGCAUCUCAGUGAUGCAAUCUUUGUAUUGCUGCUGAGGCUUCUCUGCCA
This is a small nucleolar RNA of Ochotona princeps (American pika), 96 nucleotides long. Lineage: Eukaryota; Metazoa; Chordata; Mammalia; Lagomorpha; Ochotonidae. The record is from Ensembl.